Molecule: transfer RNA, 69 nt
Filed under: Pristimantis curtipes (Intac robber frog)
Lineage: Eukaryota; Metazoa; Chordata; Amphibia; Anura; Strabomantidae
Description: tRNA-Val
Rfam family: tRNA
About the family: Transfer RNA (tRNA) molecules are approximately 80 nucleotides in length.
Source: RNAcentral
CAGAGCAUAGCUUAAAAAAGCGCUUCGCUUACACCGAACUGACGUCUGUUAAACCCAGCCUGCCCUGAG